UCCACCAUCUAUUCCCCACCCGAACAUGCAGAGGAGCUCGCGACAGUCGCAUCGGCGACGCAGCGCGACAUUCCACGCCCAAAUCCAGCAGUGUUUCGGCUGAUAGUUCGGUCGCUUCCUUCCUCGCUGCUCCUCUCCUCUUCCCUGCCGGCCCUCCUCUCGCAGUGUCUCGCGUCGUUCCCUAUCGACUGUGCGAGCCCUCCCUUUAUUGCUGCUGCGUAUGGGGGCAGCAGCCGCUCCGCCAAUAUUGCCGCGCUCGCAGCUGUGGCAGAUGAUAGCAGACAGCGACAUCAGCCCAUUCGAGCUAUGCCACGGGCACGCACCUGGUGCUUAAACGUGCACCCGUGCCAGCAAGCUCGGAAAUGCUUGCGUGCAAUUGCACAUGUUGAAUCGAUGUGACUAUGUGAGUACAGGAGAUGCACAUGAUGUGCUCGAUGAUUUGAUUAUGAGAGAUGACGCUACUAGUUCUGCUCCCCCGUGUCUCUUGCAGUUGGAGUGCCGCCAGGUUCAAGCAAAGCUAUUGGGCGCUCAGCUCUCUUCCUCAAGAUGAUGGCAAAGAAGGUCUGAUGAUCCCCUGGCAAUUCAUUUGUUCAAGGUUGAUUUCUGUUUUUGCAUCUCAUCCAUUUCGCUUGUGUCUGCUAACAAGUUCAACUCGUAUGUCCAAGGAGGAGACUCAAGGAGAAGGAUUGGCAUGGCUCUCACCUCCCUUGCUUAAUAGGUGCUCUCUCCUUGAGAUGUGUUUGCUUUUAAGCUGGUGGAAGGAAAAAAAGGUAGGAAAGAAAAACUCUGUAUGGCACAUGAAACAUAUUUGAGUAAUUAUUUAUCCAGCUUACUGUCGUAAUAUUAAGAAAUGCACUGAUUAUAGUGGAUUUUGUUUCAAGAUAAA
Panicum virgatum (switchgrass) is the source of this 886-nucleotide long non-coding RNA. RefSeq lists it as uncharacterized. Lineage: Eukaryota; Viridiplantae; Streptophyta; Magnoliopsida; Poales; Poaceae. The transcript is spliced from 2 exons. The record is from RefSeq and is a predicted model, not a curated record.